This 1017-nucleotide ribosomal RNA is filed under the name Hymenolepis sp. GL-2012. RNAcentral's name for it is "SSU rRNA". It matches the Rfam family "Eukaryotic small subunit ribosomal RNA", at positions 196 to 992 of the family's 1831-position model. Lineage: Eukaryota; Metazoa; Platyhelminthes; Cestoda; Cyclophyllidea; Hymenolepididae. The record is from RNAcentral.
AAUGGGUGCACUUAUUAGAACAGAAGCCAACCAGUACAUGCAUUCUUUCGGGGGUGUAUGUGCUGUAGCACUUCUGGUGACUCUGGAUAAUUGUUACAGAUCGCAGUCGGCUUUAUGUCGGCGACGGGUCCUUCAAAUGUCUGCCCUAUCAACUUUCGAUGGUAGGUGACCUGCCUACCAUGGUGAUAACGGGUAACGGGGAAUCAGGGUUCGAUUCCGGAGAGGGAGCCUGAGAAACGGCUACCACUUCCAAGGGAGGCAGCAGGCGCGCAAAUUACCCACUCCCGGUACGGGGAGGUGGUGACGAAAAAUACCGAUGCGGGACUCAUUAACGAGGCUCCGUAAUCGGAAUGAGUGGACUCUAAAUCCUUUCACGAGGAUCAAUUGGAGGGCAAGUCUGGUGCCAGCAGCCGCGGUAACUCCAGCUCCAAUAGCGUAUAUUAAAGUUGCUGCAGUUAAAAAGCUCGUAGUUGGAUCUCGGUAGCAUUGUUGCCUGCUUAGUUGUCAUGCUCUGCGGCGUACAUCAUAUCGUGUGUGCUUGUAUUACCUAUGUUCAUAAGAGCUUGGGUGUAUGGGUACCACGGUGGGUGUACAUUAAAACCCUAGUGCAUUGAGCUGGCAUGGCGAUGGUGUCACCUUUGAGCCAUGUCUGUGGUGUAACAGCCACAGGUGUAAUCGAGUGUCGGGCAGUGCUCUGCACUAGUUGUGGAGCCUAGUCGGCUCGUUUGCAUGCCAAUGAAUGCCCUUCAAAAGGUGUUCAUGGGCGGAUGGCACGUUUACUUUGAACAAAUUUGAGUGCUCAAAUCAGGCCGAUGUCGCCUGAAAAGUUUUGCAUGGAAUAAUGGAAUAGGACUUCGGUUCUAUUUCGUUGGUUUUCGGAUCCGAAGUAAUGAUCAAAAGAGACAGGCGGGGACGUUUGUAUGGCUGCGCUAGAGGUGAAAUUCAUGGACCGUAGCCAGACAAACUAAAGCGAAAGCAUUCGUCAAGCAUGUUUUCAUUGGCCAUGAGCGAAAGUCA